GUUAAAAAGCUCGUAGUUGAAUUUCGGGAUCAAUAUAUCGGUCGUGCUUCGGUACGUACUGGUAUCAUUGGUUUCUCCUUUCUGACGAACCAUGAUGUCAUUAAUUUGGUGUUAUGGGGAGUUAGGACUGUUACUUUGAAAAAAUUAGAGUGUUUAAAGCAGGCUUUAGCUUGAAUACAUUAGCAUGGAAUAAUGAAAUAGGACGUUUGAUUCUAUUUUGUUGGUUUCUAGGAUCGACGUAAUGAUUAAUAGUGAUAGUUG
This 261-nucleotide ribosomal RNA is filed under the name uncultured Glomus. RNAcentral's name for it is "partial 18S ribosomal RNA". It matches the Rfam family "Eukaryotic small subunit ribosomal RNA", at positions 618 to 884 of the family's 1831-position model. Lineage: Eukaryota; Fungi; Glomeromycota; Glomeromycetes; Glomerales; Glomeraceae. The record is from RNAcentral.